Molecule: ribosomal RNA, 253 nt
Filed under: uncultured bacterium
Lineage: Bacteria
Description: partial 16S ribosomal RNA
Rfam family: Bacterial small subunit ribosomal RNA
Source: RNAcentral
UACGUAGGCAGCGAGCGUUGUUCGGAGUUACUGGGCGUAAAGGGUGUGUAGGCGGUUCUCUAAGUUUGGUGUGAAAUCUCCCGGCUCAACCGGGAGGGUGCGCCGAAAACUGGGGGACUCGAGUGCGGGAUGGGAGAGUAGAAUUCCUGGUGUAGCGGUGAAAUGCGUAGAUAUCAGGAGGAACACCGGUGGUGUAAACGGCUUUCUGGACCGUAACUGACGCUGAUGCACGAAAGCGUGGGUAGCAAACAGG